Syntrophobacterales bacterium GWC2_56_13 is the source of this 376-nucleotide non-coding RNA. The record is from Rfam. Lineage: Bacteria; Pseudomonadati; Thermodesulfobacteriota; Syntrophobacteria; Syntrophobacterales.
CGAGCAGAUCAGAUGAUCGCCGGUCCGGUAUUCCGGACCGGAGGAAAGUCCGAACUCCACAGGGCGGGAUGGUCGCUAACGGCGACUGGGGGCGACCCUAAGGAAAGUGCCACAGAAAAUAUACCGCCUCUCCCGAUCAGGGAGAGGUAAGGGUGAAAAGGCGAGGUAAGAGCUCACCAGUUUCCCGGGCGACCGGGAAAGCUUGGUAAACCCCAUCCGGAGCAAGACCGAAUAGGAGAACGGGGCGGCCCGCCUCAAAGUUCUCGGGUUGUGUCGCUUGAGGCGGCCGGCAACGGCCGUCCCAGAGGAAUGAUCAUCGCCGCCCUCCGGGUGACCGGAAGGCGGAACAGAAUUCGGCUUACGAUCUGCUCGGACA